AUUGAACGCUGGCGGCAUGCUUUACACAUGCAAGUCGAACGGUAACAGGUUAAGCUGACGAGUGGCGAACGGGUGAGUAAUGCAUCGGAACGUGCCCGGUCGUGGGGGAUAACGCAGCGAAAGCUGCGCUAACACCGCAUACGAUCUAAGGAUGAAAGCGGGGGACCGUAAGGCCUCGCGCGAUCGGAGCGGCCGAUGUCAGAUUAGGUAGUUGGUGGGGUAAAGGCUCACCAAGCCAACGAUCUGUAGCUGGUCUGAGAGGACGACCAGCCACACUGGGACUGAGACACGGCCCAGACUCCUACGGGAGGCAGCAGUGGGGAAUUUUGGACAGUGGGCGAAAGCCUGAUCCAGCAAUGCCGCGUGCAGGAAGAAGGCCUUCGGGUUGUAAACUGCUUUUGUACGGAGCGAAAAGGUCUCCUCUAAUACAGGGGGCUCAUGACGGUACCGUAAGAAUAAGCACCAGCUAACUACGUGCCAGCAGCCGCCGCCG
Molecule: ribosomal RNA, 493 nt
Filed under: uncultured bacterium
Lineage: Bacteria
Description: partial 16S ribosomal RNA
Rfam family: Bacterial small subunit ribosomal RNA
Source: RNAcentral